RNAcentral lists this long non-coding RNA (252 nucleotides) under Carica papaya (papaya). RNAcentral's name for it is "long non-coding RNA (CPAP_LNC012283)". The record is from RNAcentral. Lineage: Eukaryota; Viridiplantae; Streptophyta; Magnoliopsida; Brassicales; Caricaceae.
ACAAGUAAACUAAAAUAAGAGAAAAUUAAAAAAAUAAAAGAAAAGAGAAAAAUAAAAAAAUCACGUGCGGCAGCGAGGCCACCCAAUUUAUGUCAUGUCUGCGCCAGAACAUCUCCAUUUCGAAUUCCUCUCUCUCCUUCUGAAACUGAAUUUGGAGAGAUUUGUCUCCUAAACUCGAAGCCAAAACCUUGUUCUCAUCUCUUAGCGCUCCCGCGAUACCCGUAUCCGAGUUGUUUAAUUGCUACAGCAUAU